GAUGCACAGACCUUGCCCUGGCUGUCUGCACAGGGCUGAAUUUCACCCCUUCCGAGUGUAUUAUAUGGGCAUUCUUGGGGGCGCAGAUUGCAUCAGACCUGCACCUGAAUAAAUAAUAGGGACUGAAAUAUGCAGACACUGAAGUUUUGCAGCCAAAUUCUCAGGAACCUUCCUCUUCAAUAUAGGAUCAGGAUUUUGUUUUGAAUUGUUUUAUUUUUUUUAAAAGUGCUAAGCAGAUGCUACCCUGUAAGAAGAGGAAACAGAAGGGAAAAGUGAAAGACUGUUACUAAAACCAAUGAACAGCUGCAGAGAGUGGAGACCCGGCAAAGCAGACAAAUGAAUACUGUUAGAGCUCGCCCUCCAUUGCGGAGGUGAAGACCGGAUGGGAGCUGCUGGAUUGACCUUGAU
Molecule: long non-coding RNA, 408 nt
Organism: Mauremys reevesii (Reeves's turtle)
Lineage: Eukaryota; Metazoa; Chordata; Testudines; Geoemydidae
Exons: 3
Source: RefSeq, a predicted model, not a curated record